UACGGGGGGAGCAAGCGUUGUUCGGAUUUACUGGGCGUAAAGGGCGCGUAGGCGGUAGCACAAGUCAGUUGUGAAAUCUCCGGGCUUAACUCGGAAAGGUCAACUGAUACUGUGCGACUAGAGUGCAGAAGGGGCAACUGGAAUUCUCGGUGUAGCGGUGAAAUGCGUAGAUAUCGAGAGGAACACCUGCGGCGAAGGCGGGUUCCUGGACCGGCAUUGACGCUGAGGAGCGAAAGCUAGGGGAGCAAACGGG
This 253-nucleotide ribosomal RNA is filed under the name uncultured bacterium. RNAcentral's name for it is "partial 16S ribosomal RNA". It matches the Rfam family "Bacterial small subunit ribosomal RNA", at positions 524 to 776 of the family's 1533-position model. The record is from RNAcentral.